Small nucleolar RNA from Malus domestica (apple), 115 nucleotides. RefSeq annotates it as small nucleolar RNA Z278. The record is from RefSeq and is a predicted model, not a curated record. NCBI's taxonomy places the organism in Eukaryota, Viridiplantae, Streptophyta, Magnoliopsida, Rosales, Rosaceae.
GCCUGUGAUGAUUCAAUCCGCUUUUUUGAGGUGUAGUGGAGCUGAGACCUUGUUUACAAGGAGAACCCCUCGGCGAAGCUACAUUGCAUAUGAAAUCAAUGGAUUUAACUGAGGU